This 84-nucleotide transfer RNA is filed under the name Candidatus Woesearchaeota archaeon. RNAcentral's name for it is "tRNA-Ser". It matches the Rfam family "tRNA". Rfam says of the family: Transfer RNA (tRNA) molecules are approximately 80 nucleotides in length. Their secondary structure includes four short double-helical elements and three loops (D, anti-codon, and T loops). Further hydrogen bonds mediate the characteristic L-shaped molecular structure. tRNAs have two regions of fundamental functional importance: the anti-codon, which is responsible for specific mRNA codon recognition, and the 3' end, to which the tRNAs corresponding amino acid is attached (by aminoacyl-tRNA synthetases). tRNAs cope with the degeneracy of the genetic code in two manners: having more than one tRNA (with a specific anti-codon) for a particular amino acid; and 'wobble' base-pairing, i.e. permitting non-standard base-pairing at the 3rd anti-codon position. The record is from RNAcentral. Lineage: Archaea; Nanobdellati; Candidatus Woesearchaeota.
GCCGAAGUAGCCUAACUUGGUUAAGGCAAUGGUCCCGAAAACCAUGUCCGUAAGGACGUCCAGGUUCAAAUCCUGGCUUCGGCG